AUAAUACCUUCAUCUUUUUUUGUUUUACUCAAGCUAUUCCAAUCAUAUCUCUGGUAACUGCUGUUUAGUUAUUACACAGUUUAUACUGUACAACCAUCCAGUUUAAAACUAGGUCCUACUGCUAAUUCUGUGCUGCAGCAUACAUAGUGGGAUGUCAGAUGUCUGUAUGAAAUAUUACACCAGCCAGAAUUUAUGUGACCAAACCACAUGCUGUUGUAUGUCUCAAUACAUUAUUGGUACCUUGAGACUUUUUAAAAUGUAUUUUAAAUAGGUCUUCAUUGGACAACAAAUGAAAUAUCUGGCUUUCUGGAUCCACACUAUCCCAUUGUGGCAUGUGAUUUUAAAAAUCAGGACUGUUUUGUAAUAUUGGACCCCAAAGGUGCAUGCUGGCCUAGACUUAGCUUAGCCAAGAUGAGUGGGGUCUACUGGGCAACAUGCUGCACUUUUUAGCAUACAAGACAUCCCCAAACGAGAUACAUACCUUGUUUUUGAAAGGCAGCAUCAGGAAAAAAGAUCUUUCCUUGAAAAUACUGGUAAGUAGCAGUAAAGUAACUGAGUAGCAGCUUCUGCAGCAGGAACCUGUAGCAGCAAGUUGAGUAGGGGUUGGAGAGAAAGUAUCCACAAUUGACAGCUAGAGAGCCCCAUGAGUUGCACUGCAGCCUUACUUUUGCAUUCCCUGGCACAGGCAGAAACUGCUAUUGCCAUAGUUCCUUGCUUAUAACAUAUUUCCCAGCAGCUGAGCUUUUUUGAGGAAAAAAGGUGCGUGUUGUAUCUGAGAAAAUACAGCAUAUGGUUUGGGACACAGGGCUGGUUUUGUUUCCUCUUUCCUCAUGUGGGUACUGCUGACCUCAGUGGAAAUAGCCAUUUUGGAAAGAAAGGAAGGAUGUAGUCCCAUCUGAGGUAAAAACCAAUGGGCUGCAUUCAUUCCUAGAGUAACUACUGAAGAUGGUGGAGCUACGCUAGGGUGAAGAAGAACCAGCAUCUCCACAGAUUCACUUGUCCUCAAGAGCCCAUACUAAUCAUCCCAUUGCAGUAUUAAUUUUAUAUGUGGAAUUAAUGUUGGGACUUUGCUUGGAUCCAGCUUCAUAGAUCUACUUGGUCUUCAAGCAGUGGGCCUGUGCGAGCCAGCUACCCCAAUGGCCAACCUGUUUUGCUCUGCUCCCUGUGUCAAGGAACCAAGAGUAACACUUUGCAGGGGAACAUUUUGCCCAAGGAUUUGUUCUGUCAGCUCCAUCAGAACUCACCAAACAAAUUGACCUCUACCACCUAGGGUCAGGACCCUUCUCCCAAGGACCAUCUUUUCCACAGCCUUUUCACCCACCAGUGGAAAGAAGUUUCAAGGUCUAAUCUGAACCUGGAUGGAAACAGCCUCAUGCACUUCCCUUUCUCCUUCUCUGCAUGUUAGUCAUCUUACUUGGGGGCAAUGUCUCUGUGGGAUCCAGUGGGAUCAUCUUCCUGCAAUCCAUAGCCAGCCUCUACUGACAGGUACAUCACCACCUAUGCAAGACUUUCAGAAACUGCUGAGGCGUCAGUCCAUUCUAAUGCGCAGUGUGCGCUUCUGGCAUUGGUAACAAGCACCACUGCUGUCAGAAACCAAUGUUGUUUUUAUUUCUUUCCCCUCAAGGCCUUGAGGAAAGACUUCCACCCGCACUCUGUACCCCAACUCCUUUUCUGUUUUGUAGACUUAAGACUUUCCAUGGGCAAAGCCAAACUUCUGAGAACACAGGUGCCCUUCUUGGAAUAUCACCAGUCCCUGGAAAUUGGGAAUAUUGUGGAUCACCCACUGUGAUUAUACUUUAGUGAAUUUUGUAGAACAAAGUAUUGCUCAUCCACAGAUAUACCUGGGGAUCUCUCACACUCCAUCAGUGCAAGCUGCUUUGCAAUCUUAGGUCUUCUCUUAGUGAAAGAAACAGUGUAGCUAGAAUGUGUCAAGACGACUUAGUAUUUGUAUCAGUCACAUGAUCCUAGUGUCCAUUAGCUGCACUGUCAGCUGACAUCUAAUGAGUUCCGACUUUGGAUAGCAGCCCACGAAUCAAUCAGGGGGAAAAGGAUUCAAAACACAGGCUUAAGAGCACAGACAAGUCUCCAGAAACAGAAGCAGAUGCAUGAGAUCAGGUGAUAACAGAUGUAUUCCUCCUGUUCAAGUCAGCGAGAGGCUUUUUUUGGUCUGCGUUUUCCUCUAGGGAACAAUCUGGCCUCGAGAGAGGUGGCGGGUGGCGGGAGGGAAAUUAUCUAAUGGGUUCAGUGAAAUUGCACUUAUGCUACUGUAGAGCUGGUUGAAAACAAAACAAUCAGUCCCACAAGAUUUUUAAAAAUGAUUUCUUCAAAAUAUAGUUAAUCAGAAAGACCCAUACUGUUUAGUUUAAUGUUUUGGGUUCUCUUGGCUAUGUCCACAUGGUUAAUUUGCCAUGCCCAGCUGUGUCACCCCCCAAGAGCAGUGUGCUGGCUCAGGCAGGUUGCCUCCUAAAUCACAAGCAGUGCAGCCAUAGGCAGUAGGUUGUCUGCAAGACCCAGGAUUCCCCAGGGGUCUCCCAUCCAAGUACUAGCAAGGCCCAGGACUGUUUAGCUUUCAUGUUUAGUCAACAUCAGUGCAUUCAGUCUGUUAUGGCUGGCCAUAGAUGGGCUAGCUAGGGACAGGCUAAAUGAACUGUCCAUUGGCAGUGCUCACUUCCCAAGUGAAGCAUAGCUACGCUGAUUUUGGUUUAGGAGACAGCUUUGGAGGAACAGUGCAGUUGACUUGAGGGCAGCCAGGCAGUAUGAAUUUAGGAUGGACUGGGGCCUUUUUAUUUGUUGAAACUUUAAUGUAUUCAAAACCCUUCACAUUUGGAAAAUUUCUACCAGCUCUACUAAAUAGUGAGGACUUAGUGGCAGAGAAUAAAAAGAAUAGGAAAGGAAGGUAGAAUUGGACUGCCAUUGUCUCUGUAUCAAUGACAGUCCAGCACCAAGGGGAGAUCGAGCAUAGAGGCAGGUGUCUGGGCACCCAUCUAUAUUGUUAUGCCUCUGCUUUGUGCAAAGGUAGUUGUGGAAUAUCUUGUUUGCUGUGGUCAGUGGUUAUGUGCAGGGAUGGGCAGUGAGACAGGGACAGAGGCAAUAGCCAUAUCAUGAGAAAGGCUUUAGAACACAUCAAGACCCCUUUGAGCUGUGUUGGAAAGCCUUGGUUCUUUAGUCACCAUAGCACAUCCAUAAUCCUUUACAUCCUGCUGCUUAUACUGGUUUGCUUCUCCUGCAGGAAACUUUCCCACUGUCUACUACUUUCCCACCCUGGCCUUGAACAAGUGAUAGGCAGAUGCUUCAGAGCCUCAAAAAACUAAAAGAGAAAAGGCACCAAAUUAAUCUGAAGCUGAAAAGGUCUGCCAUUUGGGUUUUCCAGACCUCCAGGACUCAGAACCUGGAGGAAAACUGCUCUCCCUGAACAGAAGGCCCUGAUAAAUAAUGCAGAGGAGAACCAGUCCAGCUGCUUUAAUUUAGGACUAUAACAGGGAGCCUGGGGCUCCUGUUACUUCAGGAAGGAAAAAAAAAACAGUAGCAGGCAGCCUAACCAGGGCUAGCUGCAAAGGAAUAGGCAGCCAGAGGCCAGAAGCUGAGAGGAACUAUUGCCAUACUGGUUGCACAGCAGUAGUACUAUAGGAUAGAGCCCUGCCAAAGCAACAGAGGCACAGCUAUGGUAGGUAGCUGGGGCAGCAGCAACAAGCUGUCCAGUAGAAAGAGAGAAGCAGCUGUGCCAGGACUAGCAAGUCACUUGACCAGGAGUGGGCAGGACUUGAGUGGCAUAUAAGCCUGGGCCUGUGCCAAGCCAGGUGAUCUGGCCCUGGAAGCUGCAGUGGGAAGAGCUCUGUAGCUAUAACACAAGCUGAGGUUUGCAUGCAAAUAGGAACUGGAAAGUAAGGCACUGAGGUCUGGCAGGGAGCUGGGACUCAGGAUGGAAAUGAUUUUUGUUAUGCAGCUAAGGGGUUAUGGUUACAGUCACAGUGCUUAGGGUUUUGGUGCAGUUAAACUAGUGGUCUGGGAGGGGACUGAAGGGGAUGUUUGGAGGUCCCAGUGGUAACUGAGGGACUUGUGGAUACCUUGAGUCUUUCCAAAGGGUAGGGGCUUGACUGCAGCAAGAGAAAGA
Gavialis gangeticus (Gharial) is the source of this 4111-nucleotide long non-coding RNA. RefSeq lists it as uncharacterized. The record is from RefSeq and is a predicted model, not a curated record. NCBI's taxonomy places the organism in Eukaryota, Metazoa, Chordata, Crocodylia, Gavialidae. The transcript has 2 exons.